ACUCCUACGGGAGGCAGCAGUGGGGAAUAUUGCACAAUGGGCGCAAGCCUGAUGCAGCCAUGCCGCGUGUGUGAAGAAGGCCUUCGGGUUGUAAAGCACUUUCAGUCGUGAGGAAGGUAGUGUAGUUAAUAGCUGCAUUAUUUGACGUUAGCGACAGAAGAAGCACCGGCUAACUCCGUGCCAGCAGCCGCGGUAAUACGGAGGGUGCGAGCGUUAAUCGGAAUUACUGGGCGUAAAGCGCAUGCAGGUGGUUUGUUAAGUCAGAUGUGAAAGCCCGGGGCUCAACCUCGGAAUUGCAUUUGAAACUGACAAACUAGAGUACUGUAGAGGGGGGUAGAAUUUCAGGUGUAGCGGUGAAAUGCGUAGAGAUCUGAAGGAAUACCAGUGGCGAAGGCGGCCCCCUGGACAAAGACUGACGCUCAGAUGCGAAAGCGUGGGGAGCAAACA
RNAcentral lists this ribosomal RNA (447 nucleotides) under uncultured bacterium. RNAcentral's name for it is "bacterial SSU rRNA". It matches the Rfam family "Bacterial small subunit ribosomal RNA", at positions 335 to 774 of the family's 1533-position model. The record is from RNAcentral.